Molecule: non-coding RNA, 148 nt
Organism: Podarcis lilfordi (Lilford's wall lizard)
Lineage: Eukaryota; Metazoa; Chordata; Lepidosauria; Squamata; Lacertidae
Source: the annotation of a GenBank genome assembly
CACCGGCAUCACUGCAGAUUACUGGGAGGAGUGAGGCAGCAGCAGGGUUGGUGGGAUGCAGAUGUAGCACUGGAGUUAAAUGGAUGCCCCCACUUGCACCGACUUCGCUGCUGCUUCACCCCUCCCAGUUCGUUGCAGUGAUGCUGGU